This 71-nucleotide transfer RNA is filed under the name Limonius californicus. Its description in RNAcentral is "tRNA-Trp". Lineage: Eukaryota; Metazoa; Arthropoda; Insecta; Coleoptera; Elateridae. The record is from RNAcentral.
AAGGAUUUAAGUUAAACAAACUAGUAACCUUCAAAGUUACCAAUAAGAAAAAUCUCAUCUCUUAAGCCUUA